CGGCUCCAGGGACCGGCUCCGACUGCUGCAGUUCGGGCCUUAUUUUAGGGUGAAGCCCGGGCACCCGACCCGGCUGCGCUGUAGUGGGAGGCCACGGCGAUUAUCCAGGUGAAGCUCUUCCAGCCCAGCCCUGGAAGGUGGAAGAAGAAAAGUUGACGUGGAAUGUUUAGGAAGCGCUGUUGGUCCAGGUCCAGGAUCGGGGCAGCCAGCAUGUCCUCUAAUCUGGCUUCACUGUUGAAAUCCAGUCGAGCACACAGGGCCCAAACCACUGCGAGACCAGCUCGGUUCGGCCCAAACCACUGCCCACUGCGAGACCAGCUCGGUCGGGCCCAAACCACUGCAAGACCAGCUCGGUUGGGCCCAAACCACUGCCCACUGCCGAGACCACCUCGGUCGGGCCCAAACCACUGCCCACUGCUGAGACCAGCUCGGUCGGGCCCAAACCACUGCCCACUGCGAGAUCAGCUCGGUCGUGGAGACCCUAACCCAGUGGCACUAGAGGAAUUAAAGAUACACACACAGAAAUAUAGGUAUCUCUCAAGGGUUUUUUGCAUGUCUGAUACCUACGGCUCCAACAGGACCCACUGACUGAUGAUGGCUCCACCUGGACCUGCCAACUACUCCUGUAGCCCCAUCCAGAAGUGAUUCAGCACACGGGAGGACCCUGUCUCACACCCUACGAUGGCCCCCGGCCCCCGCAACCCAUCAGCAGCAAGCACCCACUGCCUAGCUACCCCACCCCUUCCCCCAAACU
RNAcentral lists this long non-coding RNA (754 nucleotides) under Pongo abelii (Sumatran orangutan). Its description in RNAcentral is "lincRNA". The record is from RNAcentral. Lineage: Eukaryota; Metazoa; Chordata; Mammalia; Primates; Hominidae.